This is a long non-coding RNA of Hippocampus comes (tiger tail seahorse), 122 nucleotides long. RefSeq lists it as uncharacterized. The transcript is spliced from 3 exons. Lineage: Eukaryota; Metazoa; Chordata; Actinopteri; Syngnathiformes; Syngnathidae. The record is from RefSeq and is a predicted model, not a curated record.
AUUGAGUCCUUUUAAGAUGACGAGUUAAUUCCAAGGAAAAGGCAAUUUCACCAAAACGAACAGCUUUGCAAAGUAUUGGAUACAAUUGCCAGGAGACAAGUGACAUGAAAUCCAGCUCACUA